RNAcentral lists this ribosomal RNA (254 nucleotides) under uncultured bacterium. Its description in RNAcentral is "partial 16S ribosomal RNA". It matches the Rfam family "Bacterial small subunit ribosomal RNA", at positions 15 to 252 of the family's 1533-position model. The record is from RNAcentral.
GAUCAUGGCUCAGGAUGAACGCUGGCGGCGUGCCUAACACAUGCAAGUCGAACGGGAAAUACUUUAUUGAAACUUCGGUGGAUUUAAUUUAUUUCUAGUGGCGGACGGGUGAGUAACGCGUGGGUAACCUGCCUUAUACUGGGGGAUAACAGCCAGAAAUGACUGCUAAUACCGCAUAAGCGCACAGAACCGCAUGGUUCCGUGUGAAAAACUCCGGUGGUAUAAGAUGGACCCGCGUUGGAUUAGCUAGUUGG